UACGGAGGGUGCAAGCGUUAAUCGGAAUUACUGGGCGUAAAGCGCACGUAGGUGGUUUGUUAAGCUAGCUGUGAAAUCCCCGGGCUCAACCUGGGCACUGCAGUUAGAACUGGCAAGCUAGAGUAGGGUAGAGGGGUGUGGAAUUCCAGGUGUAGCGGUGAAAUGCGUAGAUAUCUGGAGGAACACCGGUGGCGAAGGCGGCAUCCUGGACCAACACUGACGCUGAGGAGCGAAAGCCAGGGGAGCAAACGGG
This 253-nucleotide ribosomal RNA is filed under the name uncultured bacterium. Its description in RNAcentral is "partial 16S ribosomal RNA". It matches the Rfam family "Bacterial small subunit ribosomal RNA", at positions 524 to 776 of the family's 1533-position model. The record is from RNAcentral.